GACCGCGUAGCCCAGUUGGCAGAGCAUUGGGCUAGUAUUCCAAAGGUCGUAGGUUCAAUUCCCACCGUGGCCA
RNAcentral lists this transfer RNA (73 nucleotides) under Paramuricea clavata. It matches the Rfam family "tRNA". From Rfam's summary of the family: Transfer RNA (tRNA) molecules are approximately 80 nucleotides in length. Their secondary structure includes four short double-helical elements and three loops (D, anti-codon, and T loops). Lineage: Eukaryota; Metazoa; Cnidaria; Anthozoa; Malacalcyonacea; Plexauridae. The record is from Rfam by way of RNAcentral.